Molecule: ribosomal RNA, 304 nt
Filed under: uncultured bacterium
Lineage: Bacteria
Description: partial 16S ribosomal RNA
Rfam family: Bacterial small subunit ribosomal RNA
Source: RNAcentral
CAGCAGCCGCCACGGGAAUACGUAGGUGGCAAGCGUUGUCCGGAAUUAUUGGGCGUAAAGGGCUCGCAGGCGGUUUCUUAAGUCUGAUGUGAAAGCCCCCGGCUCAACCGGGGAGGGUCAUUGGAAACUGGGAAACUUGAGUGCAGAAGAGGAGAGUGGAAUUCCACGUGUAGCGGUGAAAUGCGUAGAGAUGUGGAGGAACACCAGUGGCGAAGGCGACUCUCUGGUCUGUAACUGACGCUGAGGAGCGAAAGCGUGGGGAGCGAACAGGAUUAGAUACCCCCGUAGUCCCUGUCUCUUAUAA